UUUAAUUCGAAGCAACGCGAAGAACCUUACCAAAUCUUGACAUCCUCUGACAACUCUGGAGACAGAGCGUUCCCCUUCGGGGGACAGAGUGACAGGUGGUGCAUGGUUGUCGCCAGCUCGUGUCGUGAGAUGUUGGGUUAAGUCCCGCAACGAGCGCAACCCUUAUCUUUAGUUGCCAUCAUUCAGUUGGGCACUCUAGAGAGACUGCCGGUGACAAACCGGAGGAAAGUGGGGAUGACGUCAAAUCAUCAUGCCCCUUAUGAUUUGGGCUACACACGUGCUACAAUGGAUGGUACAAAGGGCAGCAAAACCGCGAGGUCAAGCAAAUCCCAUAAAACCAUUCUCAGUUCGGAUUGUAGUCUGCAACUCGACUACAUGAAGCUGGAAUCGCUAGUAAUCGUAGAUCAGCAUGCUA
This 415-nucleotide ribosomal RNA is filed under the name uncultured bacterium. Its description in RNAcentral is "bacterial SSU rRNA". It matches the Rfam family "Bacterial small subunit ribosomal RNA", at positions 945 to 1359 of the family's 1533-position model. The record is from RNAcentral.